This 259-nucleotide ribosomal RNA is filed under the name uncultured diatom. RNAcentral's name for it is "partial 16S ribosomal RNA". Lineage: Eukaryota; Bacillariophyta. The record is from RNAcentral.
GCCACACUAUGAAUUCCCUCUACCUCGACCACACUCAAGCUCUAGCAGUUUCCACUGCUUUUCUGGGGUUGAGACCCCAGUCUUUAMSAGCAGACUUACCAAACCACCUACACACGACUUUAUGCCCAGUGAGUUCCGGCAUAACGCUUGCCACUGCCUACUGAUACKUAGCCGUCGGUCUGCAUGGAMYAKAGUKAGCCGAUAGCUBAUUCCUMAGUACCGUCAGAACUUCUUCCUUGAGAAAGAGGUUUACAACCCA